Non-coding RNA from Psammomys obesus (fat sand rat), 69 nucleotides. NCBI's taxonomy places the organism in Eukaryota, Metazoa, Chordata, Mammalia, Rodentia, Muridae. The record is from the annotation of a RefSeq genome assembly.
UGAUGUGGCUUAGUGGUAAAGCACUUGCCUAGAAUGCAGGAGGUCUGGGUUCAAUUCCCAGCAUUGAAA